UUGGAAUGGUUUGUUAUAUUUGUGGGGAGUCUUUAAAGAGAGGAAGGUGAAUUGCUCAACAUGACUUGCAUCUAUCACAGGACAAUGGCUUAAAAUGGACACCAGUUGGUAGAAGUUGUUUGUGUUUGCAGCAUCAAUGUUCUCCUCUGAAGUCUGGUGGAUAUUUAGCUUCAUACCAGGCUCCUAAUAGUGGUAAAAGUCUCAAGUUUUAUCAAUUUACAUUUCCCUGUCACUGUCACCUCCCACAGCAGGCAUAACAUGGUCAUAUCUGAGGCUUUCAGCCUAAGGAUGCGUAAGCCAUCAGCUUGAUAAAUGAUAAAAUAAUCCAACUGAAGCUUAUCAGUAUAGUGGCGAAAUAUCAUAUGUUUUGAAAUUUAUUUGGUGCACGCUUGUAAAUUAGUAGAGUCUGAAAACUUCAAAUUUCCUGCAAAAAUCUGGAAUUCUAGUUUAUUUCACUUUUCAAAUGACAUCUAUCUCUUAAUAUAAUGAGAUUUACACAGUUCCAAUAGCAUGUAGACCAUAACCUUGAGGUACAAGCACAGACCUAUUCAGUAUGUUCCAGGGGAUUCGAGGGACUCCCAUUCCGUGCAUCCAUACUUUUGAAUUUCUUAAUGUGAUUUGGCAUUUUUGCUUGUUACUUAGGAUAUAGGUUGGCAUUUGAAGUUCUGUUCUUCAGAGUUCAACAAUUAGGAGGAUUCUCGUGAGUACACAUAUGCAGUAAUUAAUGCAUGCCAUGUUGAAAAUGGGAAACUUUGAACAUCUAGAACUUUUCCUUGUGAUGGGAUUUAUCGUUGUGUUUUUUAAGUAUUCAACUUAAAUAAUUGAAAAAUAAUGUUUGGAUACAAAACUUAUUUCAAAUAAUAUUUCGCUUGCAUCAUAAACACAUUUUCCAACCCACCUUUUUAUAUUCCCAAUUACCUUUUUAUCUCACAUACAUCACAUUACAAAAAGUGCUACAGUAAUUAUUCCAAAUAAUAUUUCAAAUAAUACCCUAUCCAAACAAAUCAAUAUAUAACGUUGUCUAAUAUCGGCCUGUUCUGGGGUAAGCACUCUGAUACAUGUACUUAGCAUUAAUAUCCCACUUUUACAGAAUUUGCUGCGCAAGGAGUACCUUUUAGAAUAUAGAGCCUUACACUCAAAAUGAUGAAAUACUUAAAAGACAGUAGGAAAAAAAGAUCCCAAAAGCUAUGAACUACUAAUUUUGGCAAAACGAUGGAUCUGCAUUUUUUGUUUAAAAGCAAAAGAAAAAGAAAAAAAACUUCCUAUUACUUCCAUAAUGUCAUAUUCCAUGGUUCAGAGUUCAUUGCUUAAUCUUUUUCAACAAGUGAUGGAAGAUAGUACAAACUCUUUUACAACCAUAGUUAUUGCUUUGGCCGUGGGAUUAACAUAACCAUAGCCAUGAUAUCCUCCCUCAUCAAAUUUACCUUUCACUGAUGCACCAUUUUCUUCUAAUUUCUUUACCAGCUCAAUCUGACGGUCAAUCAAUGGAUCACCAGCACACCCGAUGACUAAAAUCUUCCAUCCCAGAGCCUUGAUCAGUUGAAAUAGCUGCG
This 1553-nucleotide long non-coding RNA is filed under the name Coffea arabica (coffee). RNAcentral describes it as "long non-coding RNA (CARA_LNC005539)". Lineage: Eukaryota; Viridiplantae; Streptophyta; Magnoliopsida; Gentianales; Rubiaceae. The record is from RNAcentral.